RNAcentral lists this ribosomal RNA (295 nucleotides) under uncultured bacterium. Its description in RNAcentral is "partial 16S ribosomal RNA". It matches the Rfam family "Bacterial small subunit ribosomal RNA", at positions 775 to 1067 of the family's 1533-position model. The record is from RNAcentral.
GGAUUAGAUACCCUGGUAGUCCACGCCGUAAACGAUGAACACUUGGUGUUGGAGGUAUUGACCCCUUCAGUGCCGGAGCUAACGCGUUAAGUGUUCCGCCUGGGGAGUACGGUCGCAAGAUUAAAACUCAAAGAAAUUGACGGGGGCCCGCACAAGCGGUGGAGCAUGUGGUUUAAUUCGAUCAACGCGAAGAACCUUACCUGGUCUUGACAUCCUGUUGACCGUUUCCAGAGAUGGAUUCUUCCCUUCGGGGCAACAGUGACAGGUGCUGCAUGGCUGUCGUCAGCUCGUGCCG